UCUUAUCAAGAGAAGCGGAGGGAACUGUGCCCGUAGAUGCUUCAGCAACCUCUAGUACAACUAGAAAGGUGCUACUUCCAGCAAGGCAAUGACCUUGGCAGAUAAGA
RNAcentral lists this non-coding RNA (107 nucleotides) under uncultured Solibacillus sp. RNAcentral's name for it is "SAM riboswitch (S box leader)". It matches the Rfam family "SAM riboswitch aptamer (S box leader)". From Rfam's summary of the family: The SAM riboswitch is found upstream of a number of genes which code for proteins involved in methionine or cysteine biosynthesis in Gram-positive bacteria. The record is from RNAcentral. Lineage: Bacteria; Bacillati; Bacillota; Bacilli; Caryophanales; Caryophanaceae.